UACGUAGGGUGCAAGCGUUGUCCGGAAUUAUUGGGCGUAAAGCGCGUGUAGGCGGCCCGGUAAGUCCGCUGUGAAAGUCCAGGGCUCAACCCUGGGAUGCCGGUGGAUACUGUCGGGCUCGAGUCCGGAAGAGGCGAGUGGAAUUCCUGGUGUAGCGGUGAAAUGCGCAGAUAUCAGGAGGAACACCAAUGGCGAAGGCAGCUCGCUGGGACGUGACUGACGCUGAGACGCGAAAGCGUGGGGAGCAAACAGG
RNAcentral lists this ribosomal RNA (253 nucleotides) under uncultured bacterium. Its description in RNAcentral is "partial 16S ribosomal RNA". It matches the Rfam family "Bacterial small subunit ribosomal RNA", at positions 524 to 776 of the family's 1533-position model. The record is from RNAcentral.